RNAcentral lists this ribosomal RNA (497 nucleotides) under uncultured bacterium. RNAcentral's name for it is "partial 16S ribosomal RNA". It matches the Rfam family "Bacterial small subunit ribosomal RNA", at positions 28 to 507 of the family's 1533-position model. The record is from RNAcentral.
GACGAACGCUGGCGGCGUGCCUAAUACAUGCAAGUCGAACGCUGAAGAGAGGAGCUUGCUCUUCUUGGAUGAGUUGCGAACGGGUGAGUAACGCGUAGGUAACCUGCCUUGUAGCGGGGGAUAACUAUUGGAAACGAUAGCUAAUACCGCAUAACAAUGGAUGACACAUGUCAUUUAUUUGAAAGGGGCAAUUGCUCCACUACAAGAUGGACCUGCGUUGUAUUAGCUAGUAGGUGAGGUAAUGGCUCACCUAGGCGACGAUACAUAGCCGACCUGAGAGGGUGAUCGGCCAAACUGGGACUGAGACACGGCCCAGACUCCUACGGGAGGCAGCAGUAGGGAAUCUUCGGCAAUGGGGGCAACCCUGACCGAGCAACGCCGCGUGAGUGAAGAAGGGUUUCGGAUCGUAAAGCUCUGUUGUAAGUCAAGAACGGGUGUGAGAGUGGAAAGUUCACACUGUGACGGUAGCUUACCAGAAAGGGACGGCUAACUACGUG